GGGAGCCUACGGGGGGCAGCAGUGAGGAAUAUUGGUCAAUGGCCGAGAGGCUGAACCAGCCAAGUCGCGUGAGGGAAGACGGUCCUACGGGUUGUAAACCUCUUUUGUCGGGGAGCAAAGAGAGUCACGUGUGACUCAUUGAGAGUACCCGAAGAAAAAGCAUCGGCUAACUCCGUGCCAGCAGCCGCGGUAAUACGGAGGAUGCGAGCGUUAUCCGGAUUUAUUGGGUUUAAAGGGUGCGUAGGCGGUUUGUCAAGUCAGCGGUAAAAAUUCCGGGCUCAACCCGGUCCCGCCGUUGAAACUGG
This 305-nucleotide ribosomal RNA is filed under the name uncultured bacterium. RNAcentral's name for it is "bacterial SSU rRNA". It matches the Rfam family "Bacterial small subunit ribosomal RNA", at positions 333 to 636 of the family's 1533-position model. The record is from RNAcentral.